Molecule: small RNA, 29 nt
Filed under: Bombyx mori (domestic silkworm)
Lineage: Eukaryota; Metazoa; Arthropoda; Insecta; Lepidoptera; Bombycidae
Description: ovarian small RNA-4687
Source: RNAcentral
CAGAAGUCGAGCAUCGCCUUACAGGACGC